ACGGGAGGCAGCAGUGGGGAAUAUUGGGCAAUGGGCGAAAGCCUGACCCAGCAACGCCGCGUGAAGGAAGAAGGCCUUCGGGUUGUAAACUUCUUUUACCAGGGACGAAGGACGUGACGGUACCUGGAGAAAAAGCAACGGCUAACUACGUGCCAGCAGCCGCGGUAAUACGUAGGGGGCAAGCGUUAUCCGGAUUUACUGGGUGUAAAGGGAGCGUAGACGGUAAAGCAAGUCUGAAGUGAAAGCCCGGGGCUCAACCCCGGAACUGCUUUGGAAACUGUUUUACUGGAGUGCAGGAGAGGUAAGUGGAAUUCCUAGUGUAGCGGCGAAAUGCGUAGAUAUUAGGAGGAACACCAGUGGCGAAGGCGGCUUACUGGACGAUAACUGACGUUGAGGCUCGAAAGCGUGGGGAGCAAACAGGAUUAGAUACCCUGGUA
RNAcentral lists this ribosomal RNA (437 nucleotides) under uncultured Clostridium sp. RNAcentral describes it as "partial 16S ribosomal RNA". It matches the Rfam family "Bacterial small subunit ribosomal RNA", at positions 341 to 792 of the family's 1533-position model. Lineage: Bacteria; Bacillati; Bacillota; Clostridia; Eubacteriales; Clostridiaceae. The record is from RNAcentral.